RNAcentral lists this long non-coding RNA (2523 nucleotides) under Homo sapiens (human). Its description in RNAcentral is "long non-coding RNA NONHSAT204982.1". Lineage: Eukaryota; Metazoa; Chordata; Mammalia; Primates; Hominidae. The record is from RNAcentral.
UUGGCAGCAUAAGAAAAAGAAGAAAAAAAGUGCAUAGAAUUCUGCCUUGAACAUCACUGUCCACGGGCUGCCUUCAAAAGACAGAAGGGCUCUACCACGGAAUGCCUGUUUCAGAUUUAAAAAAUAACCUGCUGAGAUAUGCUGGCAGGGCUUCCUUCAGCAGCCACAAGAAGCUUCUCAGGUGAGAAGAAACCCACUGCUGUUAGCACUAUAGAUUUCUUUAAGGUCACAGGCCUCUUCCAAUUAGGGGUAUCAUCCAUCUCUGGUGGCCUUUCCCUCCUGAAGCUGGGGAAAUAUUUCCUCCCCCUCCAACCCAUUUACCACCCGCUCCAUAUAACCGCCUUGAAGACCUCUUUGGGCUUGAAGAAUAACUUAAGACAGUUUUCCUAUUGAGUGCUGAACAUUUGCCUCCCCCUCCCCCUCCAGCCUGUCACUCUUUCCGGGCUUGUGACUGCUUCAGAAUUGUGAACUUCAAAUUUCCCCACUGUUUUGUUGAUCCUGGGCUUUUGAUUCAAGGGCCUGUCUGGCAGGAGAUGGCCUAAGCACAUCAGCAAUAGCAGAUGACAAAUGCCAAAACAGAAAGAAAAUAGGAUACAAAUGAUUUCCUCCUACAUAUUUACAUUUACCUGCUCCAGAGAUUGUGCAUUUGGGGUUCUACCCGUUAUUAAGUAGGAGCCUACGUUAUGCCUAUAAUGACCUCAUCAUGCUGCGUGAUUAUGGGCUGCAGCCGCCAAACACUUUCAGACGACACUGUGAACUUUAAAUUGGCACUCCAAUCUCCCAGUGGCCUGUCAGUCAUGAGAAUCGCGUCUUUAUGCCAGCAAGCCCCUUGGAUGGAGUCUGACAUUGCAAUCUUCAGUAAAUUACCCUGUCACUGACAAUCUUGCAGUUAUCUCGCAAACAAUCAAGCAGGCAAUCAAACUGUUCUGAAUUGCCAGUUCAGGACCUGAGAGGUGGCCGAUGUCUCCAUUCAACAGCAGAGGGAAAGCGGCCUGGCCCUCCUAUGACAAUGGACGAUUUCUUUAUUUAUUUAUCUACCUACUUAUUUGUUAGUCUGGUUGGCUUUUUCCUGGGGAAGGGGGUGAGGAUGGUAGGAGAGGUUUGCAGAGUCCUCAAAAAGGGCCCAAUACUGACUCAGCGGUUAUGGGAAAGCGACUUAGGCCUUCUGAAUCAGCCCACACUGCGGUGGCUCAUGUCUGCUUAAUCUUACUUCACUCAGUGAAACGGGGCCAAAAAGAAUUAUCUAGGUGUUUUCUGUCAGAACGGACGCUAAAUCACAGCUCUGGUUCUAGUCUACUCAUACACGUCAUAAGCUAAUUGUAAUGACAAUUUCAGAGAAAUGUGAUCAUGGAGAAACUUUCUGGGAAUGAUACCAAGGCAUUCUAUUUAUUGCUUUUGAUAAAGCAAAUCAGAGAGAUUCUUCCAUAACAGUUCUGGCAACGUGAAACAGGUUCAUUAAUGCUGAAUUGAAACCUUUGGAUUAGAAGUCCCAAGGUAAAAAGCCAAAAAUUCUACACAGCAUCAGAGGUGACAGCCUGGCCUCUGGAAUCAGAUGGAUUUGGGUUUGAAGCUCGUCUCUGCUAGUUCCCUGGCUGUGUGAGCUUGGAAAGGAGGGGUGACGCUUCCUUCCCCAAGGAAGUCUGAAGACAAGGCAGUGGACACCCAUCAACAGGGCAAGCUGUAGUUUGGGAGGUCGGAGUUCACCCAAGAACAAUCUGCAGCUGCCUCUGCCUUUCCUCUUGUUUUAAAGGAGGAUUAUGAGGCUUGCAUACCUACUGCACCAACCCAUACGAAGUCAAUGAACAGGAUGAGGCCAAGUCAAUAAUACAGAUGAAGAGCAGUACAACCAUGUCUUCAUGCCUUACUGAAAAGCAAAGAUGUAUUUUAUAUCUGGAUUUUCUUUGCACUGAUAAAACGAUAUCAGCGGUAUAUAGUGACUUGGGUGUCACUGUAUGCAUGUUUUUUGAAAUCCUAAAAUGAAAUGUAUUUAUCUCCCAAUCAUCUAUUGAAUAAAAGGAAAGAGAAAAUGAAUGAAUGGGAGCUCUGUAAACCACAUCAGCAACCUCGAAAAUGUCCAACUGCAAAGACCCAUGUCUACAAAUUGCUGUCAGCCAGAGGAAUGGCUGUAACUUCCUUGGUGCCGAGAGAUGGGAUUUCACUAUGUUGGCCAGACUGGUCUCGAACUCCUGACCUCGUGAUCCGCCCGCCUUGGCCUCCUGAAGUGCUGGAACUAUAGGCGUGAGCCACCGUGCCCGGUCAAGAUAAUUUCUUAUAGGACAACAGGACAGGAUCACCCAGGAAAAGAUGGACUCCCUGCUCAGUUCCUACUUACAGUAUCUGAGUCACUUAACUAAAUGCAAUCGGCCCAGCUGCAGGCACCACUGCUCGGGCCACUAUAAGAACCAGCCCCUGAGCUUCCGGACAGGAAACAGCAUCUGCAUUUCCAGACUGUAGCAGCUCAUCAUGCCAGGCUCCACAGGCAAGAAUCAAGCAGAUGGAAGCUACAGAGGAAACAAACAGGGU